This 204-nucleotide non-coding RNA is filed under the name unclassified sequences. RNAcentral describes it as "raiA RNA". It matches the Rfam family "raiA RNA". The record is from Rfam by way of RNAcentral.
GAGAAUCGGGUCUGUGGUUGCAAGCCGAUGCCAGUCGCAGGCAAAACGGUCCACGUAAGUCAGCCAAAGCGCUGAUGAGCAUGGUGCGGUUUAGAAGUCAGUCCGACCGGGAUUCUUCCCGAGAGAGCGGCGUGAGGGCGUUUCCUACGCAGAGCAAAGCUCCAGUCGGCGGGUGUGGGGUCAAAGACCAGGUCAGCCGGUCAC